CCUCGGGGGGCUGCAGUGGGGAAUAUUGGACAAUGGGCGCAAGCCUGAUCCAGCAAUGCCGCGUGUGUGAAGAAGGCCUUAGGGUUGUAAAGCACUUUCAGCAAUGAAGAAGUUGUAUUGGCUAAUAUCCAAUAUAAUUGACGUUAGUUGCAGAAGAAGUACUGGCUAACUCUGUGCCAGCAGCCGCGGUAAUACAGAGAGGGCAAACUUUAAUCGGAGUUAUUGGACGUAAAGAAUAUAUAGAUUGGUGAAAUCCCUGGGCGUAACCUAGGAAUUGCAUUUAAUACUUUUUAUCUAGAGUAUUGUAGGGGGAAGUGGAAUUUCCGGUGUAGCGGUGAAAUGCGUAGAUAUCGGAAGGAACACCAGUGGCGAAGGCGACUUCCUGGACAAAUACUGACACUGAGACACGAAAGCGUGGGGAGCAAACAGGAUUAGAUACCCUAGUAGUC
Molecule: ribosomal RNA, 449 nt
Filed under: uncultured bacterium
Lineage: Bacteria
Description: partial 16S ribosomal RNA
Rfam family: Bacterial small subunit ribosomal RNA
Source: RNAcentral